This 57-nucleotide transfer RNA is filed under the name Ovis aries (sheep). It matches the Rfam family "tRNA", at positions 8 to 63 of the family's 71-position model. Rfam says of the family: Transfer RNA (tRNA) molecules are approximately 80 nucleotides in length. Their secondary structure includes four short double-helical elements and three loops (D, anti-codon, and T loops). The record is from Rfam by way of RNAcentral. Lineage: Eukaryota; Metazoa; Chordata; Mammalia; Artiodactyla; Bovidae. RNAcentral also lists the same sequence under 1 other name.
UAGCUCAGUUGGUAAAGAAUCUGCCUGCAAUGCAGGAGACCCAGGCUCAAUUCCUGG